GACGAACGCUGGCGGCGUGCCUAAUACAUGCAAGUUGAGCGCUGAAGGUUGGUACUUGUACCAACUGGAUGAGCAGCGAACGGGUGAGUAACGCGUGGGGAAUCUGCCUUUGAGCGGGGGACAACAUUUGGAAACGAAUGCUAAUACCGCAUAAAAACUUUAAACACAAGUUUUAAGUUUGAAAGAUGCAAUUGCAUCACUCAAAGAUGAUCCCGCGUUGUAUUAGCUAGUUGGUGAGGUAAAGGCUCACCAAGGCGAUGAUACAUAGCCGACCUGAGAGGGUGAUCGGCCACAUUGGGACUGAGACACGGCCCAAACUCCUACGGGAGGCAGCAGUAGGGAAUCUUCGGCAAUGGACGAAAGUCUGACCGAGAAACGCCGAGUGAGUGAAGAAGGUUUUCGGAUCGUAAAACUCUGUUGGUAGAGAAGAACGUUGGUGAGAGUGGAAAGCUCAUCAAGUGACGGUAACUACCCAGAAAGGGACGGCUAACUACGUG
This 497-nucleotide ribosomal RNA is filed under the name uncultured bacterium. RNAcentral describes it as "partial 16S ribosomal RNA". It matches the Rfam family "Bacterial small subunit ribosomal RNA", at positions 28 to 507 of the family's 1533-position model. The record is from RNAcentral.